Molecule: transfer RNA, 65 nt
Filed under: Paramphistomum cervi
Lineage: Eukaryota; Metazoa; Platyhelminthes; Trematoda; Plagiorchiida; Paramphistomidae
Description: tRNA-Glu
Source: RNAcentral
GUUGAUUAGGUGUUUUUGCAUAUUAAUUUUUCGUAUUAGUGGGGAGGUUUUUGUUUUACUCAGUC